Long non-coding RNA from Mustela lutreola (European mink), 450 nucleotides. RefSeq lists it as uncharacterized. The transcript has 3 exons. The record is from RefSeq and is a predicted model, not a curated record. NCBI's taxonomy places the organism in Eukaryota, Metazoa, Chordata, Mammalia, Carnivora, Mustelidae.
UUUAUUAGUGGAGUUAUAUGCAGUUAAUAUACCUGCCUUCAGUGUGUGCAGAACAUUUUCCUUGUGGAAGUCUGGUGCGGUGGAAAUGCUGGAGAGAUCAGAAGUAGGCAGAGCACCCGGCAGACAGAAAGGAGGAAGCAGGCUCCCCACCAAGCAGAGAGCCCAAUGCUGGGUUCCAUUCCAGGACCCUGAGAUCAUGACCAGAGCUGAAGGCAGAGGCUUAACCCACUGAGCCACCCAGGCGCCCCUCGCUCCUGCAUUCUAACAACGUGCUUGCAUGACCUUGAAAAUGUGCAGCUCAGCUCGAGGUCUGGGGAAUGUCAAGGGGAGAGGGCCCCACGGCAAAAUGCCCCACUAUGCUCUGAAUCCACUACCACUAUGCCAAAGACACACUUCACCGUAAGUAAAUUUUAUCUCAAUUAUGAUUACUUGACCUUGGUAGAUAGCUAA